AUCGAUGAAGAACGCAGCGAAAUGCGAUAAGUAAUGUGAAUUGCAGAAUUCAGUGAAUCAUCGAAUCUUUGAACGCACAUUGCGCCCCCUGGUAUUCCGGGGGGCACACCUGUUCGAGCGCCAUUACAUCCCUCAAGCCAAGCUUGGUGAUGGGCUCCGCCCGCGUGGCGGGCCCGAAACUCGUGGGCGCCCCUGAUCGGACUCCAAGCGUAGCAAAACCCUCGCUUGCGGACGACCGGUCGGAGGCCGCCCCGGACCCCAAAAUUUUACAAUGGUUGGCCUCGGAUCAGGUGGGGAUACCCGCUGAACUUAAGCAUAUCAAUAAGCGGAGGAAAAGAAACCAACAGGGAUUGCCUCAGUAACGGCGAGUGAAGCGGCAACAGCUCAAAUUUGAAAUCUGGCUCCUUCGGGGUCCGAGUUGUAAUUUGUAGAGGGUGCUUCGAGUGAAGCCCCGGCCCAAGUCCCUUGGAACAGGACGUCAGAGAGGGUGAGAACCCCGUGUCCGGCCGGCGGCGCUCCUCAUGUGAAGCCCCUUCGACGAGUCGAGUUGUUUGGGAAUGCAGCUCUAAAUUGGUGGUAAAUUCCAUCUAAAGCUAAAUACCGGCCAGAGACCGAUAGCGCACAAGUAGAGUGAUCGAAAGAUGAAAAGCACUUUGAAAAGAGAGUUAAAAAGUACGUGAAAUUGUUGAAAGGGAAGCGCUUGCGGCCAGACUUGCCCGCGGAGGUUCAGCCCGUCUUCUGGCGGGUGCACUCCUUCGCGGUCAGGCCAGCAUCGGUUUGGGCGGUCGGACAAAGGCCUUGGGAACGUGGCCCCCUCCGGGGGGUGUUAUAGCCCUGGGUGCAAUGCGGCCAGCCCGGACCGAGGAUCGCGCUCUGCUAGGAUGCUGGCGUAAUGGCCGUAAGCGGCCCGUCUUGAAACACGG
RNAcentral lists this ribosomal RNA (923 nucleotides) under uncultured Ascomycota. RNAcentral's name for it is "eukaryotic LSU rRNA". The stretch from base 277 to 923 matches the Rfam family "Eukaryotic large subunit ribosomal RNA", at positions 1 to 664 of the family's 3401-position model. Lineage: Eukaryota; Fungi; Ascomycota. The record is from RNAcentral.